Mandrillus leucophaeus (drill) is the source of this 565-nucleotide long non-coding RNA. RefSeq lists it as uncharacterized. The record is from RefSeq and is a predicted model, not a curated record. The transcript is spliced from 2 exons. NCBI's taxonomy places the organism in Eukaryota, Metazoa, Chordata, Mammalia, Primates, Cercopithecidae.
CCAGCUGUCCACGUGUGAUUGUUGUGUCAUUUUUUCUUCUUUAUUUGCUGGACAAUUGGGGCAUCAGCUGCAGGUGGCAGGAGGCUCCAUCCCCAAGUGACUCCAUGGAUAAGGACAGGCACCAUCCAGCCCACAACCCCUCCACACCCCUAAUCAGUGCGACAUGAUGAGACACAAUCACAGCUUCCAAUCACAUCCUUGCUGAACUCACAGAGGACAAUUUAGGCAGGAACCGCACACUGCUAUGACAUAUCCACCCCACUGUGCUUUCUUGAGGAGUGAUGUCCCAUGCCCCCACUGAGCAGCCCUGUACAGUGGCCACUUUCCCUGGUAGUAAGUGAUGCAUCUACAAGGUGGCCCCAGCAGCCUUCAGCCCUGGAGUCUGCCCUAGUCCAAACCAUCCCCAUCUUUCUGGCCUCCAUGGGCCCGUGCACCCUGUUGCAUUCCUCUCUCCAUAGUCCUCAACUCAAAGCACCAAAGAAACCUUACUCAGUGUGUCUUUAUGGUGCAGAGUCCCGGCAAGCAGAGGUCUUUGUGUAGCUGUUGAAUAAAAAAUUCCUCGUGA